Molecule: ribosomal RNA, 1486 nt
Filed under: Bacteroides helcogenes
Lineage: Bacteria; Pseudomonadati; Bacteroidota; Bacteroidia; Bacteroidales; Bacteroidaceae
Also listed under: 2 other names
Description: 16S ribosomal RNA
Rfam family: Bacterial small subunit ribosomal RNA
Source: RNAcentral
AGAGUUUGAUCCUGGCUCAGGAUGAACGCUAGCUACAGGCUUAACACAUGCAAGUCGAGGGGCAGCAUUGUCAUAGCAAUAUGACAGAUGGCGACCGGCGCACGGGUGAGUAACACGUAUCCAACCUGCCUUCCACUCGGGAAUAGCCUUUCGAAAGAAAGAUUAAUGCCCGAUGGCACUGAAAGAGGUCAUCCUUUUUCAGUUAAAGAAUUUCGGUGGAAGAUGGGGAUGCGUUCCAUUAGCUUGUUGGCGGGGUAACGGCCCACCAAGGCAUCGAUGGAUAGGGGUUCUGAGAGGAAGGUCCCCCACAUUGGAACUGAGACACGGUCCAAACUCCUACGGGAGGCAGCAGUGAGGAAUAUUGGUCAAUGGGCGGGAGCCUGAACCAGCCAAGUAGCGUGAAGGAUGACUGCCCUAUGGGUUGUAAACUUCUUUUAUAAGGGAAUAAAACGGGCCACGUGUGGCCUUUUGCAUGUACCUUAUGAAUAAGGAUCGGCUAACUCCGUGCCAGCAGCCGCGGUAAUACGGAGGAUCCGAGCGUUAUCCGGAUUUAUUGGGUUUAAAGGGAGCGCAGACGGGGUCUUAAGUCAGUUGUGAAAGUUUGCGGCUCAACCGUAAAAUUGCAGUUGAUACUGGGGCUCUUGAGUGCAGUAUAGGCAGGCGGAAUUCGUGGUGUAGCGGUGAAAUGCUUAGAUAUCACGAAGAACUCCGAUUGCGAAGGCAGCCUGCUGGACUGUAACUGACGUUCAUGCUCGAAAGUGCGGGUAUCAAACAGGAUUAGAUACCCUGGUAGUCCGCACAGUAAACGAUGAAUACUCGCUGUUGGCGAUACACAGUCAGCGGCCAAGCGAAAGCGUUAAGUAUUCCACCUGGGGAGUACGCCGGCAACGGUGAAACUCAAAGGAAUUGACGGGGGCCCGCACAAGCGGAGGAACAUGUGGUUUAAUUCGAUGAUACGCGAGGAACCUUACCCGGGCUUGAAUUGCUAAUGAAUAUGGCGGAAACGUCAUAGCCGCAAGGCCUUAGUGAAGGUGCUGCAUGGUUGUCGUCAGCUCGUGCCGUGAGGUGUCGGCUUAAGUGCCAUAACGAGCGCAACCCUUAUCUAUAGUUACCAUCAGGCAAUGCUGGGGACUCUAUGGAGACUGCCGUCGUAAGAUGUGAGGAAGGUUGGGAUGACGUCAAAUCAGCACGGCCCUUACGUCCGGGGCUACACACGUGUUACAAUGGGGGGUACAGAAGGCAGCUACACAGCGAUGUGAUGCUAAUCCCAAAAACCUCUCUCAGUUCGGACUGGAGUCUGCAACCCGACUCCACGAAGCUGGAUUCGCUAGUAAUCGCGCAUCAGCCACGGCGCGGUGAAUACGUUCCCGGGCCUUGUACACACCGCCCGUCAAGCCAUGAAAGCCGGGGGUACCUGAAGUGCGUAACCGCGAGGAGCGCCCUAGGGUAAAACUGGUGAUUGGGGCUAAGUCGUAACAAGGUAACC